CUACUAAUUCAGCACAUUCAGAAAUCUGAGGGGCUGGCGGAUAGCGUAGUAGUUGGGUUUGUGUGUUCCACUUCCUAGCCUUGGUUUGCCGGUUCAGAUCCUGGGCAUGGACCUACACACUGCUCAUCAAGCCACGCUGAGGCUGCAUCCCACAUAGAAGAACUAGAAGGACUUACAACUAGGAUAUACAACUAAGUACUGGGGUUUUGAGAAGGAAAAAAAAAAGAGGAAGAUUGGCAACAUAUGUUAGCUCAGGGCCAAUCUUCAAAAAAAGCAAAGAAAUCUGAUAAGGCAGGUGACAUCUCAGCAAAGCCAGGGAGGAGACUAAAGCACAUCAUCUUACCGUGGGAGGAUAUACAUUUCCCUGCAUCCAGAUCUGAAGGCAGGGUGUAUGCAGACGGUGAGAAUCAGCACGGGAUGGGGGCCGGCAUGGCAUGUGGGCUACGUGGGAUUCCGAAGCACUCCAGCAGCUGACCAAGGACCAGGACAGGGACUGAUGGAGCUGCAGGAGAGAAGAGUACAGGGCACUUUGAGCAGCAAGUGACAGAAAAUCAACCCACACUAGGUUUAAAACAAGAGUGAUUUGUCUGAAGAACACAGAGGCAGCUCCAAAGACCGUCAGCAGGACCCAGAGCCAUUCUGGGGUCUCAGGGACUGGAACUAGGAAUCCAAACAUUGUCAGCAUAUUUUCUCUCUCUCCCUCCCCCCAUCCCUCCUCUGCUCCACUGAGGCUUCAUUCUCUUAAUAGAAGUGGACAUUCUUUGCCCAGCAGGACAAAGUGGCCUUCAGCAAGAGUUAAAGUCACAUCCUGAAAGAUUUGCAACCAGCGAUGUCUUUUCAUCUCUGAAUCUCAGUUGGAAAGAUCCUAGGGAAUGGCUCAGACUGUCUAGAAACAUCUGAAGUCAACACGGCGGAAGUGAGAACAAUCUAGAUGCUGAUGACUAAGAGCCUGUUAUUCUGUCGUCCCUCCUUUCUUGACUGCUUGAAAUGCCUUAUAAUAAAAC
This 1004-nucleotide long non-coding RNA is filed under the name Equus caballus (horse). RNAcentral's name for it is "lncRNA (ENSECAG00000036145.3)". The record is from RNAcentral. Lineage: Eukaryota; Metazoa; Chordata; Mammalia; Perissodactyla; Equidae.